RNAcentral lists this long non-coding RNA (1641 nucleotides) under Nicotiana tabacum (common tobacco). RNAcentral describes it as "long non-coding RNA (NTAB_LNC018812)". Lineage: Eukaryota; Viridiplantae; Streptophyta; Magnoliopsida; Solanales; Solanaceae. The record is from RNAcentral.
UCCAAUUACAACUCACUCUUAAAUAAAUACAUCCACCAUAAUCUUUCUCAAACCAAGUAUUACAAGUUAAUUACUAAAUGAAAGAAGAGAAGAUGAUUCAGAUUCACAGCAUCAAAAUUUAUCUUAUUUUUUUCAAAUCCAUACUUCGAGCUACAUCAAAGGGCAUCCAUAUGAUCGAAGAAUACCUGGAAAUGAGCAAAGCAAAUAAACGAUGUGAAGAAUUUGCAGUCAAGCAACAGCAGUACAACAGAAUCAACACCAGCAGAAUCAACUCAAACCAAAAUGAGUAUGAAAGUAGUAAACACAGUCCCCCUCUAACAGUAACUACAUCAACUUCACAAACUAAACCUUAAACAGCGACUUCAAUCCAUUUUAACGCUAGAAAAAUUAGAAAACCUUUUCAGAAAUUGAAAACUUGCGAAAUCACAGGAUAAUUUUCAAUGAAACAGUAACUUCAUUCCAAUUUUUCAGCCGUUUUUAAAUUUUGGAUUUUUUCUUUCCUUUUUCUCUUGGUUCCCCCUUUAAAGGCAAGUUUAGGAUGCCUUUAUAUGCAAGGGACAAGGGCAGACCUUAGGAUUUUAACUUUGCCCUCUGCCUCCCUCUUUAAUUCUCAUUUUUAGCUACUUGACCCCUCAUUUACUGACUUGUUCCCCAAGCUAACCUACUAUACUUCUGAAAUUUAAUAAAAACCCCUCACUAGAAGCUUCAUAUUUCUGUUAUGAAAGAUUCUCUGAUCUAAACUACCCAAACUACCCUUUAAAGACCCUGAAAUUACCUUUAACCAAGACCGGUCAUGGGUUGAUUCGACCCAAUUGAAUUAAUUCAAGCUCAGCCCAAACCAGUAAAUCAGAAGAUUGAUUAAAGGCAUAAACCUAAGCCCAGACCAAAUCGAAUUGAUUGAAACAAAUGCUCAUAACAAAAACGAGUCUGAACAACUUCAAAAACAGAAAUCAAGUACGGGGCUAGAAUUAAAGAAAUUACUAGAUAAAACUAACCUAAUUAAUCAAGCUAAGUGACCUAAUAUGUUUAAAAUAACAUGCAUAAUAAACAGCCCAUAAACGAACACAAAAGACCUAAUGGGACAACAAAUAAUAGAAGAAAUGAAGGAGUAGAAAAGAAAGAGAACUGAGAAGAAGAAAAGAGAUAAACCUAAGAGGACCCGGACAAAAGGGCAUAAGGAACAACCUUCAACUCAUCGAUUCCGACCCGAUCCGAAGUUAAUCGUAUGUUUUUUUUAAUAUCAAAAACACACGAGUAACAUCGAUUUAGGCCUAAAAUCUUCUAACCCUCGCCGAUUCGGACCUUUGGACUUUUAGGGUUGUCCCUUAAAAUCCAGAUUCGAGGAGUUUCACUAAUAUUCGAGGGAAACGGAGUGGAUUUCUGGAAUGAGGGUGAGACGGGGGUUCAGGGGUGUUAUUUUGGGGCCAAUUGGAUGAGUUAGGGUUUUAGUCGUUCUCUUUGAUUCAAUAUUUGAGAGGUUGGGUUGGUAUUCGAGGGAGGGGGUUUGGAGAUUUGGAAAGAGGAGAAGAAGAGGAGUCUAUGGUGUAAAAAUGGGGUCGAUUGGAGCAACGCCGCCGGCGGAGGCGAUUUCCGGUAGGCGGCUCACGGCAGAGGUGGUGAGGGGUUCUCUGAGUGUGUGUG